CUAAUGAGGAAGUCAAAUAGGCAUUGGCAGCUGGAUUUUGCCGCUUACCAACCCAGAGACGUUUUUAUUUAUUCUUUUCUUAAUCUUGUUUUCAGCCUCUUCCUUGCUUACUGUUUAAUAGACUAUUCCAAGAACACGUUAUUCCCUUUCAUUUCUUUAAUACAUUUUUUUGCUAUUCUACUCACCGGCUUUAUCUCUGGCCGGAGCCGUUAAGGUAAAAGGGGUUUAAAUGAGAGAUUAAUGAAAAUUUUCAGUUACUUUCUUCUUACUACUUCAAACAAGUAUUCUGUAACAUACGAAUUGUACUAAGAAACGCUUCGCCUCAGGGGACAUGGCCAUGCGUUAUAGUCUUGAUAGCACAUACAAAAAUAAUCUUGUCGACAAGUUAUACUACUUGCACAAACGAAAAUUUGUUUGACAAGUUCUAAACUACAAGUCUACAAGUCACACACGCACUCUACCAUAUCCGGAUGACAUCAUUAGUAUAAAUAAUUUUAGUCAAUCCUAACUCAAAAUGUUUUACCUUAUUCAUUAAAUGUUGUUGAAAUAGGUGGUCCUUGAAAUGUUGGAUUAUUAGAGAAGAGACAUACACAUUUAGUUAUAAGUUCCCUUUCAACUAAUGGAAGCAAAGAGUUAAGUGUCAGUCAUCUAACUGAGAAUCAUCCACCUAUAACUAAAAAGAGACGCACC
RNAcentral lists this long non-coding RNA (690 nucleotides) under Brassica napus (rape). RNAcentral's name for it is "long non-coding RNA (BNAP_LNC003960)". Lineage: Eukaryota; Viridiplantae; Streptophyta; Magnoliopsida; Brassicales; Brassicaceae. The record is from RNAcentral.